This 1755-nucleotide ribosomal RNA is filed under the name Listeria monocytogenes. Its description in RNAcentral is "partial 23S ribosomal RNA". It matches the Rfam family "Bacterial large subunit ribosomal RNA", at positions 1 to 1747 of the family's 2925-position model. Lineage: Bacteria; Bacillati; Bacillota; Bacilli; Caryophanales; Listeriaceae. The record is from RNAcentral.
UUGGUUAAGUUAGAAAGGGCGCACGGUGGAUGCCUUGGCACUAGGAGCCGAAGAAGGACGGGACUAACACCGAUAUGCUUUGGGGAGCUGUACGUAAGCGUUGAUCCAGAGAUUUCCGAAUGGGGGAACCCACUAUCUUUAGUCGGAUAGUAUCCUUACGUGAAUACAUAGCGUGAGGAAGGCAGACCCAGGGAACUGAAACAUCUAAGUACCUGGAGGAAGAGAAAGAAAAAUCGAUUUCCUGAGUAGCGGCGAGCGAAACGGAAAGAGCCCAAACCAAGAAGCUUGCUUCUUGGGGUUGUAGGACACUCUAUACGGAGUUACAAAAGAAAGUUAUAAAUGAAGCGGUCUGGAAAGGCCCGCCAAAGACGGUAACAGCCCGGUAGUUGAAAUGGCUUUCCCUCCAGAGUGGAUCCUGAGUACGGCGGAACACGUGAAAUUCCGUCGGAAUCCGGGAGGACCAUCUCCCAAGGCUAAAUACUCCCUAGUGACCGAUAGUGAACCAGUACCGUGAGGGAAAGGUGAAAAGCACCCCGGAAGGGGAGUGAAACAGUUCCUGAAACCGUGUGCCUACAAGUAGUUAGAGCCCGUUAAUGGGUGAUAGCGUGCCUUUUGUAGAAUGAACCGGCGAGUUACGAUUUGUUGCAAGGUUAAGCGGAAAAAGCGGAGCCGUAGCGAAAGCGAGUCUGAAUAGGGCGCAUAAGUAACAGGUCGUAGACCCGAAACCAGGUGAUCUACCCAUGUCCAGGAUGAAGGUAAGGUAAUACUUACUGGAGGUCCGAACCCACGCACGUUGAAAAGUGCGGGGAUGAGGUGUGGGUAGCGGAGAAAUUCCAAUCGAACUUGGAGAUAGCUGGUUCUCUCCGAAAUAGCUUUAGGGCUAGCCUCGAGGUAAAGAGUCAUGGAGGUAGAGCACUGUUUGGACUAGGGGCCCUUCUCGGGUUACCGAAUUCAGAUAAACUCCGAAUGCCAUGUACUUAUACUCGGGAGUCAGACUGCGAGUGAUAAGAUCCGUAGUCGAAAGGGAAACAGCCCAGACCACCAGUUAAGGUCCCCAAAUAUAUGUUAAGUGGAAAAGGAUGUGGGGUUGCUUAGACAACCAGGAUGUUGGCUUAGAAGCAGCCACCAUUGAAAGAGUGCGUAAUAGCUCACUGGUCGAGUGACCCCGCGCCGAAAAUGUACCGGGGCUAAACAUAUUACCGAAACUGUGGAUGAACCUCUUUAGAGGUUCGUGGUAGGAGAGCGUUCUAAGGGCGGUGAAGUCAGACCGGAAGGACUGGUGGAGCGCUUAGAAGUGAGAAUGCCGGUAUGAGUAGCGAAAGAAGGGUGAGAAUCCCUUCCACCGAAUAUCUAAGGUUUCCUGAGGAAGGCUCGUCCGCUCAGGGUUAGUCGGGACCUAAGCCGAGGCCGAUAGGCGUAGGCGAUGGACAACAGGUAGAGAUUCCUGUACCAGUGCUAAUUGUUUAACCGAUGGGGUGACACAGAAGGAUAGGGAAUCGCACGAAUGGAAAUGUGCGUCCAAGCAGUGAGUGUGAGAAGUAGGCAAAUCCGCUUCUCGCGAAGCAUGAGCUGUGAUGGGGAAGGAAAUUAAGUACGGAAGUUCCUGAUUUCACGCUGUCAAGAAAAGCCUCUAGGAAGAGUAGUACUGCCCGUACCGCAAACCGACACAGGUAGAUGAGGAGAGAAUCCUAAGGUGAGCGAGAGAACUCUCGUUAAGGAACUCGGCAAAAUGACCCCGUAACUUCGGGAGAAGGG